CCUGGAUGCUGGGUCUCAUAGCAACUCCUAGGGCCUUUCACCCUGUUGAUUGACAAGCCAUCCCUGGAUGACGCAGAGUUCAGUUCCAGAUUACUGUUCAUCCAGGAUCCUGCCUUAAGAGCCUAUGUGAUCUCAACUACAAAGAACCUUCUCCUAGUACUGUUCCAGCUCACAGAAGGUACAUUGAGUGAGCCUCACAUAACCAUGAGCUCUUUGGCAGCAUCAACAACAAGUUCGAACCUGUUCAAGUUUGUCAAAAGAAGAAGCAAUGAGUUUAAUUGUUAUAAAACAAGCACAUUUGGG
Molecule: long non-coding RNA, 303 nt
Organism: Mus musculus (house mouse)
Lineage: Eukaryota; Metazoa; Chordata; Mammalia; Rodentia; Muridae
Product: predicted gene, 35881
Exons: 3
Source: RefSeq, a predicted model, not a curated record